CUUGAAAGUGCAGACUAGAAUCUGUCCUGAUGAUGGUCCAAAAUCACAACCUUGAAACUUAGCAGUGGGGUUGAUUUGACCCAGCGCAGAGUAGGCCUACACAGUUGAGGUGCAGGAUAAACAACUUUAAUUUUUUACCUCGACACAAAAAAUUUUUCAGCAAUGUACAAUAUUGUGAGAGUUGCUUGAGCAGUUUAUGCAAUGGUUAAAAACUUUAUUUUUAAUUUUCUGAAAAAGCAGAUUAUGUGUUUUUAGUUGAAAUAAGUCAUUCCUCACUCGUCUUCCUUUAUUACAUCAUGUUAUUUGCUUAGGUUUUUAUAGGCUUUAUGGAGUAAAAUCUUAACAUAAGUCUUAUAUUUAAGACAAAAAUGUCAGAUUUUGAUUAAAGAGCACCUAUUAUGGGAUACACGUUUUUAAACAUCCUUUUGUGUGUAAGUGUGCAUAAGUACAUGCUAACGAUAUUCAAAAAGUACGUACCUCAAAGAAAACGAUGACGCGAGUUAUCGUCUCUAACGUUCGAGGACUACAAAAAACACUCGGAUUGUAGGCAACAGUUUACUUCCUGGGAUUAGUGACGUAGAUAAGACCAACAUUGUCAUAGUUCAGCCCUCUCUGCUUUGCUUGGGUACGCCCUCAAAGACGGGGGUGGGGAGCGCCGAGUCAGAAGAGAGCUAAAAUGGCGGAGGUUGUGAGUCCCUGCCUUGACUCUGUUUGCAAACUCUUGUUUCAUUGUUUAAGCGAUUAAAUCUCUCGAGUAGACGCUGUCUCUUUAGAUGCGAGGGAAAAAUAGCACUUUAUGGACUUCCACAGAGGACAUCAUGUUUAAUACGGUUCUGGAAAAAUCCAGUCAGAAGUUGUUCACGGAGUUUUCACAAUAACUGCUUCUCAUGAACCGAAGCUGGAUUUGCGCGACGUCUCCUCUUGAAAGUUGGAUUACUGUGCACUUUUGGAUCACAGGCUAUUCGCAGCUGGACACAUUCUACACUGUAUGCAAACAUGCAACAUCAUUACACACAGUACAAGGAGUCAGACUGGCAUAUGAGGAGCAAAGGAACCCAGGCAGUAGCAUCGUUUCACAAUGUUUCCAUCACCAUCAUCAGUGGAUGCCUUUGCUGUCCGUAGCCUGAGAUUUCAGAUUUGCAGCAAAAAAAAAUUGAUUUUCUCAUUUAUUGGAAUGCUGUGCAGGUAUUUGUACCUUGUAGCCAUCCAUUACAAUGUCACCAAGCUGUAACAAAAGCAGGAGAGGGAAAGUACAAGGCUAUGUUCCCAAAACACACAAGUGACAUACCUUAUGUGGAUGAUGUGAUCAGGCUUGUGUUUGAUGAGGUAUUUGAAGAUAAGCUGAAGGAAGCCCUGAUUCCAAUGGACCUGGCAUCACAGUUUGAGAGACCUUCAAAGGAGGACGUGAUUGCAUGCCAUCUUCAGUGCAG
Paramisgurnus dabryanus is the source of this 1430-nucleotide long non-coding RNA. RefSeq lists it as uncharacterized. The record is from RefSeq and is a predicted model, not a curated record. Lineage: Eukaryota; Metazoa; Chordata; Actinopteri; Cypriniformes; Cobitidae.